This 253-nucleotide ribosomal RNA is filed under the name uncultured bacterium. Its description in RNAcentral is "partial 16S ribosomal RNA". It matches the Rfam family "Bacterial small subunit ribosomal RNA", at positions 524 to 776 of the family's 1533-position model. The record is from RNAcentral.
UACAGAGGUCCCAAGCGUUGUUCGGAUUCACUGGGCGUAAAGGGUGCGUAGGCGGUCGGGUAAGUCUGACGUGAAAUCUCCGAGCCUAACUCGGAAACUGCGUCGGAUACUAUUCGGCUAGAGGAAUGGAGGGGAGACUGGAAUACUUGGUGUAGCAGUGAAAUGCGUAGAUAUCAAGUGGAACACCAGUGGCGAAGGCGAGUCUCUGGACAUUUCCUGACGCUGAGGCACGAAAGCGUGGGGAGCAAACAGG